This 1437-nucleotide ribosomal RNA is filed under the name Clostridium sp. WB02_MRS01. RNAcentral describes it as "partial 23S ribosomal RNA". It matches the Rfam family "Bacterial large subunit ribosomal RNA", at positions 698 to 2155 of the family's 2925-position model. The record is from RNAcentral. Lineage: Bacteria; Bacillati; Bacillota; Clostridia; Eubacteriales; Clostridiaceae.
AGUCAGUAAAGGUAGACCCGAAACCGGGUGAUCUACCCAUGUCCAGGUUGAAGUUUCCGUAAAAGGAAAUGGAGGACCGAACGCACAUCCGUUGAAAAGGGUGGCGAUGAGGUGUGGGUAGGGGAGAAAUUCCAAUCGAACCCGGAGAUAGCUGGUUCUCCUCGAAAUAGCUUUAGGGCUAGCCUCGUAUUAGUCUGCCGGAGGUAGAGCACUGAAUUUCCUAGGGGGCGUCAAAGCUUACCAAAGAAUAUCAAACUCCGAAUGCCGGCCAGAUGAUGUACGGGAGUCAGACUGCACGAGAUAAGUUGGGUAGUCAAAAGGGAAAGAGCCCAGACCACCAGCUAAGGUCCCAAAGUGCGUGUUAAGUGGAAAAGGAUGUGGGAUUUCACAGACAACUAGGAUGUUGGCUUAGAAGCAGCCACACAUUCAAAGAGUGCGUAAUAGCUCACUAGUCGAGAGGUCCUGCGCCGAAAAUGUCCGGGGCUAAAACACGACACCGAAGCUGUGGAAUGUAUCGUAUGAUACAUUGGUAGAGGAGCAUUCUUAACGCACAGAAGCAUUACCGUAAGGAGAUGUGGAGUGUUAAGAAGAGAGAAUGCCGGAAUGAGUAGCGAGAUGGAGGUGAGAAUCCUCCAGGCCGAAUAUCUAAGGUUUCCAGAGUAAAGCUGAUCUGCUCUGGGUAAGUCGGGGCCUAAGGCGAGGUCGAAAGACGUAGUCGAUGGACAACAGGUUGAAAUUCCUGUACCGCAUAUUAUCAGAACUGUGGGGACACAGAACCGAAGAAGAACCCGGGAAUGAAAAGACCGGGGCAAGCACUGGACUGGCUGGAAUGGCAAAUCCACCCAGCAACAGGAAGGUGUGACGCGUACCGAACAUAAGUAGGGAAGUCUUCGUAGGGGCUGUCAAGAAAAGCCGCUAUUGUGUAAUAUGUGCCCGUACCGUAAACCGACACAGGUGGAUGAGGAGAGAAUCCUAAGGCCGGCGGGAGAAGCAUUGUUAAGGAACUCGGCAAAAUGACCCCGUAACUUCGGGAUAAGGGGUGCCUGGGAAACCAGGCCGCAGAGAAUAGGCUCAAGCAACUGUUUAGCAAAAACACAGGUCUAUGCAAAACCGAAAGGUGAGGUAUAUGGGCUGACGCCUGCCCGGUGCUGGAAGGUUACGAGGAGGGGUUAGCGGCAACGCGAAGCUCUGAAUUUAAGCCCCAGUAAACGGCGGCCGUAACUAUAACGGUCCUAAGGUAGCGAAAUUCCUUGUCGGGUAAGUUCCGACCCGCACGAAAGGCGUAAUGAUUUGAGCGCUGUCUCAACAAUGCACCCGGUGAAAUUGAAAUACCAGUGAAGAUGCUGGUUACCUGCGCCAGGACGGAAAGACCCCAUGGAGCUUUACUCCAGCUUGAUACUGGGAUUCGGUACUGCAUGUACAGGAUAGGUGGGAGGC